RNAcentral lists this ribosomal RNA (315 nucleotides) under Triticum aestivum (bread wheat). RNAcentral's name for it is "partial small subunit ribosomal RNA". Lineage: Eukaryota; Viridiplantae; Streptophyta; Magnoliopsida; Poales; Poaceae. The record is from RNAcentral.
AUGCUCGACAAGAUCCUCAACCGUACACCUACCUGGAACUGGAAGGCACGCCUGCUGUACCGCUCCGGCAGACUGGUCAUCGUCAAAUCAGUGCUUGCCUCGAUGUCGGUGUACCACUCGAUCGCCAUGGAGCUGCCUCCUUGGUUCAUCAAGGCCAUCGACAAGCGAGUGCGCGCGUUCCUCUGGGCGGGUUCCGACUCGGUCUCCGGUGGCCAAUGCCUUGUGGCAUGGGAUAAGGUAUGUAGAGCGCUCGAAUAUGGUGGUCUGGGCGUCCCAAACUUACACAUCCUUGGACUGGCCCUGCGGAUGCGCUAG